CAGAACCCAGACUAGGAAGCAACGGUAGCCCUUACAUGACUUGUGGGUUUUUCUCUAAGCGACACAGAGAUCCAUUAGCUCCUCUCUCUCUGUGUCCCUCAGCGACCCAGCCGCUGCUCCUGUUUCAAAGAUUUCACAGCCUCUCAAAACAGCACCCAGCUGGGGACCAAGUGUUUAAACACAAGAGCCCGUGACAGACGUUGCACGUUUGAAUUGUACCAGGCUACACUGGACACCAGUAAAUCUGGUAACAGACAGCCUGUAGUCCAACUAACUGACAGUGAGCAGCUGUGGAUGGGAAGUCCAAGAACCUAGUAGUUGCUCGGUCCCAUGAGGUGAGGUGUUUCUCCUGGUCUUCUGUACAAGCUGGAAGCCUGAAGAAGCGGGUUCUAACAGAUGUGCUGGCAGGCUGACCUUGAACUCAGAGAUCUCCUUGCCUCAGUCUCCUGGGAUUAAAGGCCUGUACCACCUUGCCUGGGCUUAAGCUUUUCAUGACCACUGUGCCUCAAGAUCUCCAUGCCAAGAUCCAGUCAGAAACUUGUAUCUCCCAGCCUCAAGAUCUGGAUCACAGGCACUGAUCAUAUCCCUCACAGCAUGGCAAGAAGGGCAAGUAUGUACGAUAUGGUAUUUUAAGAUCGAAAUGAUUCGGGCUGGAGGGAUGGCUCAGCGGUUAAGAGCACUGACUGCUCUUCCAGAGGUCCUGAGUUCAAUUCCCAGCAACCACAUGGUGACUCACAACCAUCUGUAAUGAGAUCUGAUGCCCUCUUCCGGUGUAUCUGAAGACAGCAAUGUUGUAUUCAUAUAAAUAAAAUAAAUCUUUAAAAAAAA
Molecule: long non-coding RNA, 828 nt
Organism: Rattus norvegicus (Norway rat)
Lineage: Eukaryota; Metazoa; Chordata; Mammalia; Rodentia; Muridae
Source: RefSeq, a predicted model, not a curated record